Daktulosphaira vitifoliae (grape phylloxera) is the source of this 3880-nucleotide RNA transcript. RefSeq lists it as uncharacterized. Lineage: Eukaryota; Metazoa; Arthropoda; Insecta; Hemiptera; Phylloxeridae. The record is from RefSeq and is a predicted model, not a curated record. The transcript has 6 exons.
ACAUUUUGUCAAAUCAUAUUUCGUUCGAAAAAUUUGAAUCAUAAUAAUAAUUAAUUAUUUUCCAUAUGUUUUCAUUAAAACUUUUCAAGUUUAGUGUUUUAUUAUUUUAUUUGACUUUAUAUACAAAGGCUGAAAAUGUUACAAAUAAACAAAUAGAUCAGUUAGAUAAGUUAUUAAUAUAUUCAGGAUGGCAAAAUUUAAAUGUUGUGAACUUCAUAAAAUAUAAAAAUAAAACAUAUUAUCUUGAAAAUUUAAUUGAAAUACCUUCACAUCGAUCUCUAUUUAUGGUAAAGGUACGAGCUUUGACUAUAUAUCUUGGAUGCACAUAUGCAAAAGUUAUGAAUACUAUAUUUUCAAUUAUUAUUAACUCCCUACAAAUUUAUACAAAAAAUAAAGAAAGAAAAAUCUUAAAAAACAAUGUUUGCAUUUGUACCGAAGGAUUCAUAAAAAUAAUAACUAUAUUAAUUGUUCCAUUAGCAACAUUGAUGAAAGGUGCCAUGAAUGCUUUACAUUCAAUACAUAGUGUAUCAUCGGCUGAUUUUAAAGAAGAAAGCUACGAUGACUACAUAAUUAGUCCUUUGUUGGGGAGAAUAGGUGAUAUUUUUGACAAAUUAAACGAUCGAACUCUAUCCCGUGAUGAUAUGUCUACAUAUUCGUCGGCAUUUAAAACUAUAUAUAAAUACUCAGAAAUCCUAUUAAAAGAUUUAAAAAACGAAACUGAUUCAUAUUGUGUAUUUGUACCUCAUAAUCAGUAUUAUUUAUGGAAUCAAUGGGUUCUACAAUAUAAAGCCAUCAUUCAACGGGGCGAAAAAUUGAAAUUUUUAAAGUUCAUAACACGAAAAUUUAAAGAUUAUAUAAAGUCAGUAAUUAUAGAAAAUUAUUUUCAACUAGGAUUUAAAUUUGAUCCAAUUACUGAAGAAACAUUUGUACCAUCAACAAAGGAACCAAUUAUACAAGAAUUGGAACUUAAAGGGACAGAUGAAGAGCCUCCAACGCUAUUAGAAAUAGAAACUCAUUAAAUGUUGUAAUAAAAUUAAUUUUUUUCUUCAUUAUUGUUAUAUAAUUAAUCACAAUUUACUUUAUAACUUAGUAAUUCUUUAAAUUAUUAUUAAAAUAUAAACAUGAAUAAUGUAUCCUACAAUUAUUUGUUAGUUGUACACACAAGUUUAAUAUACCACAGUUAUGUAUAAUAAUAUUAAUAACUUCUGGAAUCUUGAUUCAAAAUCACCUCUAAUUUUAGAUUCGAUACGAAGCUGAGAAGGUAUUUACUUUACUAUAAUGUAUUUUUUUUUUUUUUUGUAUGUCUGGUACCACUUUUCUCAGCUCUAACAGAAUCGAUUUCUUUCGACAGAUUGUUGAAAGAUCACAAAUCUUAUCUAAUUGGAGAUUUGAGCGACGAAACCCUAACGUGUCUGUCAACGUGUACGACUUGGAACGAGACGACGUUAAGAUGAAGUGGUUGGUGUAUCCUCUAAGAGUCGCCGACCAAGAGCAACAGAAUCAUUUUGACCUGUUGUACAUCGGUGACUCUGACAAGUAUCAUUACGCGUACAUUUCUGAUUUUUCGAGGCUUGUACGCAGCCAAAAAACUAAUCACAAAUGCCGCAUAUACACUUGCAAACGUUGCUUCACCAGCUUUGAUUAUAUGCCUAAAAAGUAUAUUCUUCGGGGUCAACAAGCGUUGGAGCAACACAAGUUGAUAUGCGGCAAGAACAAACCUAUUUUACCCGUUAUGCCGGCAGAGGGCAGUAAGGUCGAAUUUGACGCGUGGGUAAAGACGCAACGGUUACCGUUUGUCAUCUACGCCGAUUUUGAAGCCUUACUGGAGAAAACAGACGAUCGUAUGGGUGCCUAUACUAGGACUGUGCACAUCCACCAUCCCAUGAGCUAUGGGUUCAUGGUGAAAACAUCGGACGAUGUGCCCUCCGAGCUCCUCGAACGCUAUGGUAUACCACAAUCACCGGUGAUAUACCGUGGGUCCAAGGAUCACGAAGAGGUCGCCAAGGCAUUUGCGAUGGCUGUAACUGAAGUGACGCGCAACAAUUCUAAAUUGUUGCGCAAAACCAACGUUCCCAUCCGAAUGUUUGUCGAUGAUGUGCGCAGGCACGAGGAGAAAGUGGUAUGCGACUUGUGCCGUACAGCAUUUAAGGAUUCCAACCCCAAAGUCGCAGACCACUGUCAUUUAUGGGGCCGAUUCAGACAGACGUUGUGCAAUGCAUGUAACCUGAAAGUGAAGACGGUCAACUUUGUGCCGUGCUUCUUGCACAAUCUUUCAGGUUACGACGCUCAUUUCAUAGUCACUGAAUUGGGGUACGACGACCAAAGGAUUUCGGUCAUACCAAAUUCUGAGGAGAAGUAUAUUUCGGUCACAAAACACGUGACCAAUAACUUCUCCAUACGGUUCGUCGAUACCUUCCGGUUCAUGGCCUACUCCCUGUCCACCUUGGCCGGUAACCUAAUGACGCCCGACUUCGUUAAAUUCCGGGAGACGGCCAAGGUGUUCCGCCCGGAAGACAUGCCGUUGGUGACGCGUAAGGGCGUAUACCCCUACGAGUACACUGAUAGUUGGGCUAAAUUGGAAGAAACGGAACUACCACCUCAGGACGCUUUCUAUAGUCAGUUGAGUGAGUCUAAUAUUGAUGACGACGACUAUAGACAUGCCACGGAGGUGUGGAACCGUUUCGACUGCUCAACCCUCGGUGAGUACAGCGACCUAUAUCUUAAGAUCGACGUGUUGUUGUUGGCUGAUGUGUUUGAGAACUUCCGCGACAUCUGUAUUUCAACAUACAAUUUGGACCCGGCGCACUAUUACACCGCGCCUGGUUUUAGCUUCGAUUGUAUGUUGAAAUACACCAGGAUGAAGCUGGAGCUCUUGAACGACUACGACAUGCUACUGAUGGUGGAACAGGGCAUUCGUGGUGGGCUAGUGCAGGCCGUCAAGCACUAUGCAAAGGCCAACAAUUCUAAGACACCCGAUUACGAUCCGUCAAAACCAGAAUCAUGGAUCGUGUACCAAGACUGCAAUAACCUUUACGGGUGGGCUAUGAGUCAGCCCAUGCCGUACGGUGGCUUCCGGUGGUAUAAAGGAGCAGACCCUCUGGCUGACCUCCAAUCGUUGUCGGACACUGGUAAUACGGGGCGUAUAUAUGAAGUGGACGUAUCGUAUCCACAAGAGCUGCAUGACGAGCACAACGACUUGCCGUUCUUGCCUGUCAACGAUGUACCGCCGGGUUCCAAAGAGACCAAACUCAUGGCCACUUUGAAACCCAAACAGCGGUACGUCGUACAUUACGUUAAUCUUAAACAGGCGAUCGCACACGGACUGCAAGUCGAUAAAGUGCACCGCGUUUUAGAGUUUCAACAAAGUGCUUGGUUGAAACCAUACAUUGAGUUGAACACUGAAAUGCGGAAAAAGGCGGCAAAUGCUUUUGAAAUUGCAUUUUUCAAACUAAUGAACAAUGCCGUCUUUGGGAAAACAAUGGAGAACAAGCUAAUCUCCAGUCCCGAACGUCUAAACAAGCUCGUAAAUCAACCAACCUUCAGCGACUGUAUCAAAUACGGUGAAAGAUUGUGCGCCGUCAUAAUGACACAAAGAUGGUCAAGUUUAUCAAACCAAUAUACGUCGGUUUAGCAGUGCUUGACAUUAGCAAGACGCUAAUGUACAAGUACUUCUACGACGUAUUGAAACCACAUUAUGGCAGUGCAAUCGAAUUGGUUUACAUGGAUACUGACUCCUUCAUAUACCUGCUCAGAGUAGGCGACUUCUACCAGGAUUUAGCUGGUAGCCCCGAUUUACUGGUGCACGUGGACGCAUCUAGCCUGCCCAAGGAUCACCCUUGCUACUCCACCGAUAGAAAGAAGAUGCCCGGCUUGUUUUCAG